GACGAACGCUGGCGGCGUGCCUAAUACAUGCAAGUCGAACGCAUUUUCUUUCACCGUGGCUUGCUACCCCGACGGAAAAUGAGUGGCGAACGGGGGAGUAACCCUUCGGUAACCUGCCCAUCAGCGGGGGAUAACACUUGGAAACAGGUGCUAAUACCGCAUAAUUCCAUUUUCUGCAUGGUAGAUGGAUGAAAGGCGCUUUUGCGUCACUAUUGGAUGGACCCGCGGUGGAUUAGGUAGUUGGGGGUGUCACGGCCUACCAAGGCUGCGAGGCCGAACCGGCCUGGAGGGGUGAUCGGCCACCCUGGGAAUGAGACACGGCCCAAGCCCCUACGGGAGGCAGCAGUAGGGAAUCUUCGGCAAUGGACGCAAGGCUGACCGAGCAACGCCGCGUGAGUGAAGAAGGGUUUCGGAUCGUAAAACUCUGUUGUUAGAGAAGAACAAGGAUGGGAGUGGAAAGUUCAUCCCUUGACGGUAUCUAACCAGAAAGCCACGGCUAACUACGUG
This 507-nucleotide ribosomal RNA is filed under the name uncultured bacterium. RNAcentral describes it as "partial 16S ribosomal RNA". It matches the Rfam family "Bacterial small subunit ribosomal RNA", at positions 28 to 507 of the family's 1533-position model. The record is from RNAcentral.